Molecule: ribosomal RNA, 498 nt
Filed under: uncultured bacterium
Lineage: Bacteria
Description: partial 16S ribosomal RNA
Rfam family: Bacterial small subunit ribosomal RNA
Source: RNAcentral
AUUGAACGCUGGCGGCAUGCCUUACACAUGCAAGUCGAACGGUAACAGGUCUUCGGAUGCUGACGAGUGGCGUACGGGUGAGUAAUACAUCGGAACGUGCCUAGUAGUGGGGGAUAACUACUCGAAAGAGUGGCUAAUACCGCAUGAGAUCUACGGAUGAAAGCAGGGGAUCGCAAGACCUUGUGCUACUAGAGCGGCCGAUGGCAGAUUAGGUAGUUGGUGGGAUAAAAGCUUACCAAGCCGACGAUCUGUAGCUGGUCUGAGAGGACGAUCAGGCACACGGGGACUGAGACACGGCCCAGACUCCUACGGGAGGCAGCAGUGGGGAAUUUUGGACAAUGGGCGCAAGCCUGAUCCAGCAAUGCCGCGUGCAGGAUGAAGGCCUUCGGGUUGUAAACUGCUUUUGUACGGAACGAAAAGCCCCGGGUUAAUACCCUGGGGUCAUGACGGUACCGUAAGAAUAAGCACCGGCUAACUACGUGCCAGCAGCCGCCGUAA